RNAcentral lists this ribosomal RNA (400 nucleotides) under uncultured bacterium. RNAcentral describes it as "partial 16S ribosomal RNA". It matches the Rfam family "Archaeal small subunit ribosomal RNA", at positions 473 to 873 of the family's 1478-position model. The record is from RNAcentral.
ACACCGGCAGCUCUAGUGGUAGCUGUUUUUAUUGGGCCUAAAGCGUUCGUAGCCGGUUUGGUAAGUCACUGGUGAAAUCCUGUAGCUUAACUAUGGGAAUCGCUGGUGAUACUGUUGAACUUGAGGUCGGGAGAGGUUAGCGGUACUCCCAGGGUAGAGGUGAAAUUCUGUAAUCCUGGGAGGACCACCUGUGGCGAAGGCGGCAACUGGAACGAACCUGAGGGAAAGGGACGAAAGCAAGGGGCGCGAACCGGUUUAGAUACCCGGGUAGUCCUAGACGUAAACGAUGCGGACUUGGUGUUGGGAUGGCUUUGAGCCGCUCCGGUGCCGAAGGGAAGCUGUUAAGUCCGCCGCCUGGGAAGUACGGUCGCAAGACUGAAACUUAAAGGAAUUGGCGGGG